Molecule: long non-coding RNA, 2516 nt
Organism: Hirundo rustica (Barn swallow)
Lineage: Eukaryota; Metazoa; Chordata; Aves; Passeriformes; Hirundinidae
Exons: 4
Source: RefSeq, a predicted model, not a curated record
CCUUCCAGCACCUGAGCCUGGCUAGUGCCUCGGGAGCCCAGGGCCAGAAGGGCAAGGGCAGCGGAGAUGCUGACUGGGGAAAAGAAAAUGUUCUUGCUGGGCUCUUGAGUGGUUGGUUGCUUGCCUGUAAAACUGAAAGGAAAAGUCUUUAAUGCUUGAGACUAUCCUUGGCAGGACUCAAGAGGAUCUCCCUCAUGGGAAUGCUGCUCCUGGGGAUCAGUUGCCAUAGGCUGGUCAGUGUGGUGAUCAGUCUGGGUGAGGCGGUGGACACUGAGGUGAAGCACGGCCACCAGAAAGCGCAGUGGGAGCAUGGCCUCCAUCAAUCUUCACAGAUACUGCGUGGACAAAGAGCAAAAGGUCUUGGAUGCUGGAGUUAGACUGAGAACAUGCUGGGAUGAUUUGUGGUGCCUAAGAUGCUUAACCAGUCAGAAAACAAAUUAUAGGGCUUCAGAUACACAUUACCUAGAAGCACGAAGCUGAAUGCUGAUGAAGCCAGUGUUCUUGGACCUAGUAUGCAUAUGUCCACAUCUCUUCACUCCAAACAGAACAAAGACCACAGGGCCCAGGCUGGUCAGCAGAGCAGAGUAUUACAUCCCAAAGGAAUACCAUCUGCAAACACCCACUGAAGAGGAGACAUCCAUGGCCAUGAGCUGUACUACCAGAUACACCUCCCUAGCCUAUUGCCAGCUAAUGAAACGAGUGCUGAAGCAUCUCCUGAAGUGUGUUAUGGCCUGUACUGGGGCUUUAGGAUUUUGAUCACGCAGCUUGGGCACCUGCUUCAACACGGUACUAAGAAAAGCAGAUCAGAAGAGGUACUUAAUAUAUAACUUGUUCGGUGUGUUUUUUCGGUUGUUGUUGUUGUUUGUUGUUGUUGUUGUUUGUUUACCCACAAAUGAACUUGGCAGCAGUUCAGAAACUAUUUUGUAUUCAGAGGCUUUCUUUGAGCCUUGGUUUGGUCAAAGAAGAAGAGGAACCCUGGGCAGUGGACUUGAGUGUGCAGCUGCAGCGCCAGCAGAAGCAGAAGGUAGCAGGAGGGAGAUAGUGCUGUCAAGAAUUAUAUGCAAGCAUUGGGGCUAAUUCUGGAUUCCCUUUAUGACUCUGAGGUGAACCAAAUCAUACUUCAGUACACUGAGAAAACUCUGACAGAGACACAAACACAAAUGUUUUGCUAUUCAGACAUUCGUCUGUAUUAGCUCAUGUUGAAAGCAUGGAUUGAUUUUUGAAACUCUUUCAAAAUCUGCUUCUCUUUGCUUCAGUUUUCCUCCUUGUCAUGAGGUGGUGGCUUGAAGCUGAGGUUCAUCAUCCUACCAGGGAGGUCAGCAGAGGUUCUCCAAGCCAGCAGCUGGUCCACCCCAGGGCCUGCUUCUGGAGACAGUAAUGCAUAAAGCACACCUACACUGCUACUUUGUUUUACACCUUCAUUCCUCUUAAAAAUGUGACUGUAUUCCUACUAUUUUAUUCAAAAUGCUUCUUUUAAAAGCUACAUCUUUCAUCAGCAAAUACUCAGCAUGCCUUGCCUGCAGCCCCAACCACGCCCUGCUGAAUGCAAUGCAAACCAUCACUCUAUAGAAACAUUUUCUCAGGCUAUUAUAAAACUCCCCUGUAAUUCUGGGCACUCUGAAGGAAGAGUAAUGGCACUGUCUCAAAGCAGAAAAAUGUCAGCCUUGGCUGAGGAAGGACCUGGAAAAAGUAUUUGCAGAGCAGUCACAGCCACCCCACUCCAGACCUGUAAUAUCCACCUGACAGAAUACAUAUCUGGUAUGGGUGUGAAACCCUCUCUACCGGCUGUCUUUGUGUCCUGUCCACAAAGACAGUACUUGCAUUACCAAAAUUCACCAUUGCUUACCCUGGCACUGGACCCCAGCUGAGAGUGACCAUGGGGGAGCUGAGGGGUGGUGGCUCUGGGGCAGUAGUCAGAGUUAGGUUGAAGAAUUUACAUAGGGUGUGUCUUGAAGGCAUAGGUGGUUGUAGUCAGAUUUUCUCUUUGAUUUCUAUUCUUGCAACAGGACUGAAAGGUCUGCCCAUCCCUGGCCUUCCAGUCAGGGAAGGAAGAUGGAUGCAUGGAAGGAAAGCCACACUGUUUUGUCAUGGUUUGCACAAGAACCUUUCCUGCAUUUGUUUUCACACAAAUAUUUUUCUUAGCUCUGUUAUCCCAUUUGACAGAACUCAUGCACUCAUUUAUACUGUAGAUGGAGAUUAAUGUCAGGAACUUUUUGCUUUAAUGAGGCUUUAAUAAUUUGCAUAAUUUGAGAGGUAAACAGAUCCUUUUCAAACAAUGAUAACAGAAGCUACAGAUGAUGGAUGGCAUUGUCAACUUAUCUGGGAGGAACAUAAAUCUACGAUUCACGUGUCAGUCAGACAUAAUAUAGCAGGAGUUCAGUUUCUGACUGCCAUUAAAAGCAUUACUUCAAGAUAAUGAAUUUUGUAUUUAAUAAUUUUAAAAUGUGUUCAAUAUUUUCUCUAGUUUUCUUUUAAUAUUUAUCUGUGUAAAAAUCUGUCUCAAUUAAAGAAGCACA